UACGGAGGGUGCAAGCGUUAUCCGGAUUUACUGGGUUUAAAGGGUGCGUAGGUGGGUUGGUAAGUCAGUGGUGAAAUACUUUCGCUUAACGAAGGAACUGCCAUUGAUACUACCAGUCUUGAAUACAGUGGAGGUAGGCGGAAUGCGUCAUGUAGCGGUGAAAUGCUUAGAUAUGACAUAGAACACCAAUUGCGAAGGCAGCUCACUACGCGAAUAUUGACACUGAGGCACGAAAGCGUGGGGAUCAAACAGG
Molecule: ribosomal RNA, 253 nt
Filed under: uncultured bacterium
Lineage: Bacteria
Description: partial 16S ribosomal RNA
Rfam family: Bacterial small subunit ribosomal RNA
Source: RNAcentral